GGGGUCGAAACGCCGCGUGACUUGUAGGUGAGAGAACGCCGAGCCGUCGCCGCAGCCUCCGCCGCCGAGAAGCCCUUGUUCCCGCUGCUGGGAAGGAGAGUCUGUGCCGACAAGAUGGCGGACGGGGAGCUGAACGUGGACAGCCUCAUCACCCGGCUGCUGGAGGUACGAGGAUGUCGUCCAGGAAAGAUUGUGCAGAUGACUGAAGCAGAAGUUCGAGGCUUAUGUAUCAAGUCUCGGGAGAUCUUUCUCAGCCAGCCUAUUCUUUUGGAAUUGGAAGCACCGCUGAAAAUUUGUGGUAUGUAAAUGGGUAAAGUUGGAAACAACUCUUUUGAAUCAUGUUUUUCCUCCCAUGUUUAAGAUCUAGAGAAAACAUUUUUUGAAAAUUUUGUAUAAAACAGAUCAGUAGGCUUUACUAAAUAAAAGUGUAUAAAAAUUGAAACUUAUAAAAAUGACAAGUUACAGACAAGAUGAAAGUACUUGCUGUAUAUCAACAGAUAAAAGGAGUUCUAUUUAUAAUAUAUAAAGAGUUCUUAUAAAUAAGAGAAAGACGAUACAAUAUAAAAAUAACAUAGGA
RNAcentral lists this small RNA (577 nucleotides) under Pongo abelii (Sumatran orangutan). RNAcentral describes it as "retained intron". Lineage: Eukaryota; Metazoa; Chordata; Mammalia; Primates; Hominidae. The record is from RNAcentral.